Molecule: ribosomal RNA, 91 nt
Filed under: Vibrio vulnificus
Lineage: Bacteria; Pseudomonadati; Pseudomonadota; Gammaproteobacteria; Vibrionales; Vibrionaceae
Also listed under: 1 other name
Description: partial 23S ribosomal RNA
Rfam family: Bacterial large subunit ribosomal RNA (bases 1-74)
Source: RNAcentral
GUUGAUAGGCUGGGUGUGUAAGUGCAGCGAUGCAUUGAGCUAACCAGUACUAAUGAUCCGUGAGGCUUAACCUUACAACACCGAAGGUGUU